RNAcentral lists this long non-coding RNA (414 nucleotides) under Numida meleagris (helmeted guineafowl). RNAcentral describes it as "lncRNA (ENSNMEG00000010504.1)". The record is from RNAcentral. Lineage: Eukaryota; Metazoa; Chordata; Aves; Galliformes; Numididae.
CUAAUUUAUAACACCUGUACUUUGUCAUGAUUUUUAUUGUAUGUUAAAUUGUGUUUUUCCUUUACUUAGGGUGUUCUCUCUUAGCUUUCUUAACUAAGUGGAUUCAUUGUAUAUGAGACGAUUUAAUGAAGUUUGUCCAAAGACCAAUCUGGGCCUCCUUUGUUCCUGUUUUCAACAGAAUUAGGAGAAAAUCGAUCAGAACACUCAAGGUUCAUCUUCAGACCAAAACUAGUUGUCAGUAGAGACUGAAUUUUAAAAGGAAGCCCUCCUUAGGGUCCUCCAGAAUUCUUCUGUGGGCUAAAAUCACAGCAGAUGAAACAGAUGGCAUUUUUUUUUUUUUAGUGUUCAACUGCUUGUAAGCUUCUUUUGUCUUUGAUUAACAUCGUCAAAUAUGGCUUUUGUAGUCUUGAAGGA